RNAcentral lists this ribosomal RNA (468 nucleotides) under uncultured bacterium. RNAcentral describes it as "partial 16S ribosomal RNA". It matches the Rfam family "Bacterial small subunit ribosomal RNA", at positions 28 to 507 of the family's 1533-position model. The record is from RNAcentral.
GACGAACGCUGGCGGCGUGCUUAACACAUGCAAGUCGAACGGAAAGACCCUGCUUUUGUGGGGUGCUCGAGUGGCGAACGGGUGAGUAACACGUGAGUAACCUGCCCUUGACUUUGGGAUAACUUCAGGAAACUGGGGCUAAUACCGGAUCGGAGCUCCUGCUGCAUGGUGGGGGUUGGAAAGUUUCGGCGGUUGGGGAUGGACUCGCGGCUUAUCAGCUUGUUGGUGGGGUAGUGGCUUACCAAGGCUUUGACGGGUAGCCGGCCUGGGAGGGGGACCGGCCACAUUGGGACUGAGAUACGGCCCAGACUCCUACGGGAGGCAGCAGGGGGGAAUAUUGCACAGUGGGCGGAAGCCUGAAGCAGCAACGCCGCGGGCGGGAUGACGGUCUUCGGGUUGUAAACCGCGUUCGCCUGUGACGAAGCGUGAGUGACGGUAAUGGGUAAAGAAGCACCGGCUAACUACGUG